Molecule: ribosomal RNA, 254 nt
Filed under: uncultured bacterium
Lineage: Bacteria
Description: partial 16S ribosomal RNA
Rfam family: Bacterial small subunit ribosomal RNA
Source: RNAcentral
UACGGGGGGAGCAAGCGUUGUUCGGAUUUACUGGGCGUAAAGGGCGCGUAGGCGGUCAGCACAAGUCAGUUGUGAAAUCUCCGAGCUUAACUCGGAAAGGUCAACUGAUACUGUGCGACUAGAGUGCGGAAGGGGCAACUGGAAUUCUUGGUGUAGCGGUGAAAUGCGUAGAUAUCAAGAGGAACACCUGCGGCGAAGGCGGGUUGCUGGGCCGACACUGACGCUGAAGCGCGUAAGCCAGGGGAGCGAACGGG